CGAAAUGCGAUAAGUAGUGUGAAUUGCAGAAUUCAGUGAAUCAUCGAAUCUUUGAACGCACAUUGCGCCUUCCGGUAUUCCGGGAGGCAUGCCUGUCCGAGCGUCAUCAAAAACCACUCAAGUAGUUUUGCUUGGUCAUGAGAGAAGAGUUUGCUUGCGAAUUCCCUUUCGAAAUUCAAUGGCGGAGAGUCCCAUGAUUCUGGCGUAGUAAUAACUUAUUCGCUUGGUCAUUGUAACAAUCCUGCCUCAAACCCCCAAUUCUAGUGUUUGACCUCGGAUCACGUAGGGAUACCCGGUGAACUUAAUCAUAUCAAUAACCGGAGGAAAAGAAACCAACAGGGAUUGCCUUAGUAACUGCGAGUGAAGCGGCAAAAGCUCAGAUUUGAAAUCUGGUACCUUCGGUGCCCGAAUUGUAAUUUGGAGGCAUAUCUUCGGGGCUGGCGCUGUCCUAAGUUCCUUGGAACAGGACGUCAUAGAGGGUGAGAAUCCCGUGCCUGGAUGGCUGACCAGCUCCAUGUGAAGUGUGUCCUACGAGUC
This 537-nucleotide ribosomal RNA is filed under the name uncultured fungus. RNAcentral's name for it is "eukaryotic LSU rRNA". The stretch from base 269 to 537 matches the Rfam family "Eukaryotic large subunit ribosomal RNA", at positions 1 to 266 of the family's 3401-position model. The record is from RNAcentral. Lineage: Eukaryota; Fungi.